AUACGUAGGGGGCGAGCGUUGUCCGGAAUGAUUGGGCGUAAAGGGCGCGUAGGCGGCCCGGUAAGUCUGGAGUGAAAGUCCUGUUUUUAAGAUGGGAAUUGCUUUGGAUACUGUCGGGCUUGAGUGCAGGAGAGGUAAGUGGAAUUCCCAGUGUAGCGGUGAAAUGCGUAGAGAUUGGGAGGAACACCAGUGGCGAAGGCGGCUUUCUGGACUAUAACUGGCACUGCGGCACGAUAUUGUAGGGAGCAGACAGGAUGAUAUCCCCUGGUAGUCCGCAUUGUGAACUAUGAUUGCUAGGUGUAGGGGGUAUCGACCCCUUCUGUGCCGCAGUCAACACAAGAAGCAUUCCGCCUGGGGAGUACGGCCGCAAGGUGGAUGCUGAAAGGAAUUGACGGGG
This 397-nucleotide ribosomal RNA is filed under the name uncultured bacterium. RNAcentral's name for it is "partial 16S ribosomal RNA". It matches the Rfam family "Bacterial small subunit ribosomal RNA", at positions 523 to 918 of the family's 1533-position model. The record is from RNAcentral.